UAAGGGUAUUGUAGGAAACAUGAAUUAAAUGACACUUUUAAUCAGGAGCUCUGUAGUGUAGUGGUUAGCGUGUUUGUCUCAAAACAAAAUGAUACUCGGGAUUUUAAUUGCUACAGUAGUUGCAACGUAACAGUAACUGCAAGUAACUUACAUGACUGACACGUUACACGAACAAUUCUGCACGAUAAUAACUUCAUGUUGCACAGAACUUGAAUUUUCUGCAAUGGCAAUGCAACAGAAAUAGGAAAUAGAGACGACUAUAAAGGGUCGGAGUUGGGUAAAAUAUACAGUGUGUCUAGAAUUAGGGAGUGAAAAGUAGUUUAUUGAAAAAUGAACUCCCCAAGAGUGCGCAGAAAAUUUUGCAUAGUAAAUUAUAUAAGGGAAUUGAUCUACAUGUAUGUAGCGUUAUGGUCAAAGACUAAUUAUAUAAAACAGUAAAGCUACAUUUCAGCAGCUAAAAUUAUGUUUGAGGCCGGGGAAACAGGACAUAAUUAUCUGCAUGAUGAAACUGAUUAUUUUUAAAAAAAUUAAACUUAAAAUCACUGAAACUUAAACAUGAAUUACUAGAGAAGACAUUAGAACGGAUGAUCUUUAUAGUAAAUCUUAUCACGUCGAAAAAGUUUGAAAUAUUUUGAAAUUUAAUUAUUUUAUUGCAUUGGAAAGUGGCCGAUUGGCUUUCAGCCAAGUAAAUUUCCAAAGUUUUCGGAAAUGAAGAAAAUGAAAAUAGGAAUUUUUUUAAAGAUUGAAUUUUAAAUAUAGUCCAUAAUACGGGGAAGAUGUAAUGGUUGACAAGGAUGAGUAAGGAAAUAUCCAUGAAUACAGACUAGUACUGUUCAUUAAUAGAACUUGGUAUAUUGAUAUGUCAAUGGUACGAGUACCCAACACUGUCAAGAAAUCAGGUGAUGAAAACGCAACACUUGUGUUCUAACUCCCGUUGGACUCUAAAAUAAAUUGGCAGCAUGUCAGGUAGGAUUUCCAUUGCUGGUAAAAAUGAAACUUCUCCAGAAGAAAUCACACCUCUUUCGAUUUACAAUACUACGAAACAAUGCUUAAACACCACCGACUUGGCGAAUUAUACUAACGCAGAUGGAAUAGAAAAUAUUGCUGAAAGAAACUCGAGCUCAGAAAUGGCUAUGAUGAUAGCAUUGGGAAUUAUUUUACCCAUUGUUAUAUUUUCUUUGCUAACUGGAAUAUUGUUUUGGUGGAAGAAAAAAAUGAACGCGUACAUGUCUGAACAGAGGACCGUCGAGGAGGCACACGUCAUAGAUAGUAAUGAGGGGGACAUUCCUUCGAAUGACCAACAAAAUGUCGUUGAUGAACACAACAAAAUGAUUUCUGGCAACGACGAUUGAAAUGCACAUGCUAGUUCAAGCUUUUAUCAACUUCUUACAUAUCAUAUCAAUUAAUUAGAAAAGUAGUAAUUGAAAAGAAGGAAAAAUACUCUCUUUCAUUUAUAU
Long non-coding RNA from Saccostrea cuccullata (small rock oyster), 1457 nucleotides. RefSeq lists it as uncharacterized. Lineage: Eukaryota; Metazoa; Mollusca; Bivalvia; Ostreida; Ostreidae. The record is from RefSeq and is a predicted model, not a curated record. The transcript has 3 exons.